Molecule: long non-coding RNA, 2312 nt
Organism: Carassius gibelio (silver crucian carp)
Lineage: Eukaryota; Metazoa; Chordata; Actinopteri; Cypriniformes; Cyprinidae
Exons: 3
Source: RefSeq, a predicted model, not a curated record
ACAUAAUGCAGGAGUUUAAAAGCCACAAGUCUUUGGAAAGUUACGAGGCUUUCUGCUGUUGCUGGGUCCAUCUACAGCAGGUGAUGAAAACAGUGUUGUACUGGCCAAAGUAAGUUUAUUCACAUGCGUUUUAGCGUAUUGUAAUUACAUUGCAUUUAGAAUUAACUGCGACUGAACACUAGAUUGUAACGAGAUGUUCAAUGUAUACGAACGUUUCCAACAUGUUUUGAUGUAUGCUAAAGCUGUGUAUGUUUAGUUAUAAGUUAAUUUUUUUUGUUGGGGGCUGCAAAGUGGACAAACCAGUUCUGGGUUAGCUAGGGUAGUUAAAUGUGUGAUUGCAAGAUGUAAAUGUCCGGGUUAGAUUAAAGCCAUUUACAGCGUGAAUGCAAAGUGACUUACAUUGUAAACAAUAUAAUUCCCAAUGUCCAUAUGUGUGCACUGAGGUAAAUUGUCCAGGUCUCUGUGCCGCUGCAGGGAGCUGCCUGAGAGCUUCUCCAAACACCGCUGUUUUGCGCUUGAUGUGAGCUUGUUCCUGUAAGGUCCACUUUCUUUCGCCUUAUGUUUUUGCAUUGCUUUACUUUCUUCCUUUUCUUUCUCGUAUUCGUAGAUCCGUCUCGAUCUGUUCCGCCGACAAAAUAAAUGCGCAAAAAUGAAAGCGCUCUGAAAUGUUUAGUCGCGCCUCUGUGAAGUUCUGAAGGCAUUGCCCCUGGCAACAGAUAGCGUAUCAUUCCAUCAGGGCCGACCGGCUCAGACCCCUCCCAAAUCGGCACGUGACUCCUCAUUCUCAAUUAGUGUGUGUGUGAGAGUGUGUGUGUGCUCUUGUUUUUGUGACAUAUCAGGACACAAGUCUGUAUAAUGACAUGGGUAUGACACAGGUAUUACAAGGAGAGGGUAACUUAACAUAACCCAUGUCCCCAUUUUUCAAAAUGCUUAUAAAUCAUACAGAAUGUAUCAUACAUGUAGAAUGUAAAAAUGAAUUUUUUUUUGAGAAAGUAAAAAUGCAAACGUGUGUGUGUGUGUGUGUGUUUGUAUGUGUGUAUGGGGCGGGGGUUUAACUGGUCUCUGGUGAAUCCACGUAAUCAGGGUUGUAUAGCGGUAUGUGUUGGAAAGAACACAUAAGACUCAGUUGAAUCAAAGUUAGGAGUUUACUGUUGAUCAGGUUGAGUGGUAACCGUGAGUGGUCUGAAAAUAUCAAAGAAUAAUAAGAAAUAUUAGGUAUACAGCAGAUUAAAUGGCAUUCACACAAGCAAUAAUACAGGUUACAUUAUUAAAGUUGUUGCAGUACACAGUUGUCCACAAGGUGGCGUCGCGGGCUUACUCAUGGCAUAUGACAGCUGUCAUUGCAACAUGUCGAGAAGGGUCUGUCUGCAGACUGCAAGACGGGGGCGUAACUUGAAGUGGGCGUAACUUGAAGUAGGAGGCGUAACUUGAAAUUGUUCAAAUCACACAGAACCACGCGAGACCUCAAAACGAGAUUUUGUCGGGAUGCGUUCGAAACCGCAUACCCUUUAAAUUAGGCACUUAAUUUCAAUAAGUACUAACUAAAGGAGCGCUAAAAGAGUUUAUACUCUACAGCCUAAAUGCGUAUGUAUGAAGUAUGAAUCCAAAUUGUAUAUCAUCAUCCGCUAUGUUGAUCAUGUGACCUACAAAGUUAUAACAAGCACAAAAACGUAAAAGAUAUAAGUGACAGGUUUAAUUAUUGUAUUUGUAAUUAUCUUGAUAAUGAAGAACGUUGCAGAAACGGCUGCCUUUUUAUUUUGUGAUUGUUGUAUAGCCAAUACUGUUGAUUUUUUUAUAUAUAUAUAUUUUUAACUCCACUAAUGUGAUCAAGUGUUAUCCUUAAAACAUUUGUUUUUUAUUAGAAAACCCAAAAUCGUUAUCUCUUGAAUAUUUUUUAAAUAAUUUUACGUGAAAAACGUUUUUCUUUUAUAGCAUCUCAUACUAUGAACACAUAAUUUUUUUAUUUACUGUUUUAUGGCAUUAUGAUUGUUUAUUGUCAGAUACAACCUCUUACCAUGAUCUUUUAUGUAAUAAUUUGGCAAUAAUAAUAAAAAAGUGGGUCAGGUGCACAAACACCUCACAGCGACUGCAAUAUCUGCACAAAGGGUACUUCGAUCAGCUGCUUGAAGAUCUCAUCUUUGGAGAAGACUGUUGAUUUGACACUCUAAAAAUUGAUCCUCCUGCCAUCUGAACACAGCUGAUACAGUUCUGCCGCUGCACUUCACAAUCUCACUCUUCUCAAUGGGGAUGUCGUUGAGCAACAGGAUGAGGAAGACCUUGAUGACGGCUCUCUGAACCACACAACCUUGAAG